UACUUACAAUUAGUAAGGAACCGAGUAUAAGCGAAUGAGAGAAACAUUGUGCCAAGCAGUGUAUUAUUCAACGCUAAACGCGUUGAACGUAGACUGAAGUAUCUGAAUCGGCGCUUACGGAAUGUACCACGCGAAAAUUUGAGAUGGAAAGAAUGGAAUAACAGUUUUCUCCCAAAGGAGUGGGCAACGUGCGGGCGGAAGUUGAGGAAGCGAAGAAAGAAAAAACGCGCGAAAUGAUGCGGUAGAUAAACGACAGGCUCGUAGAUCCGCCGUAGGAUAUCGCGCGAACUCAUUGCCUUUCAUGAAGCCAGCAAGAGUGUUUCCAAGACUGAUGGUCUCUCUCUCUCUCUCAAUUGCAGAUCCCAUCCAAUUCUUUUUCGUAAAGAAUUGGAUGCCCGAACGCGAAUUAUAAAUAAAGAUGGGAAACAAGGAAUAAAUGUAACCAGGCAGUAAGAUACGUUAUUCCUAAGAACUAAUUUCUCCAUUCUUAUCCGCCUAUACGUAGAUCGGAUGCCGAUUCUGUAAAGUAUUACAGUGUGCAGGUUGAAAACUUUUUGCAGAUUUUUUGCGCAACGAUGAGAGAAUAGAAUGAGAGAAGGCCGCGUCAUGUAAAACGAAGACACGUGUCAUGCAAACCUGAGACAGGUCCAAUAAUAAAGAUAAGUCGGACAGUUUCAAUCUGAUGCAACGUCUCGAGACGCAAAGAAUGCCGUCGCAAUGUCGCGACGACAUCUCCCGAAGAACAGCCUUUUAGAAAGACCCGGAGGAGACCGCUUACGUUUCGCGCGAAUUGAAUUAACUUUACGACUGCGUUUACAGGAACGUUCGCUUCCGUAUUAAUUAUAGCGGCGCAGGCUGAGAGCAGCAUCUGCCGUUGACGGCAUCGUCUCGUACGAGAAAGUGCGGGCAAGGAGAUAGGGCGUCUGAGGGCGGAUGGAGGGCGAGAGAACGGAAGUGCGAAAAGCUCUCCGUCGAGUAAGGAAAGCUCGGUACACCCCUCGGUGCACAAUAAAGAAAUUCCACGAUUUCCAGCGGAACGAUACCGGACGCGCGAGCGCGCGCGUUGUCAUCUUCGCAUACCACCAUCGUUUCGCUCGUUCGUUCGUUCGACGUUGAACGAAACGCCAGGCCCCUCGAGUUAAUGAAAUCCAUCGGCGCCAAGUCGAGCCGCGGCAAGAAUCGUCCCGCGCGCGUGGGAUGCGCUCCGUUAUCGUUUGAAAAAUCAAAAAUUACGAUCCGACGCACUUGUCUUUCACCUUCUGUCGAGCGAAAAUCGAGUUUGCUUCAAAACAUUUUUCAACUUUCUCUUCCCUUCGAAUUAAAUUGCGCGGAAUUACGCAAUUUAAUGCACGGGAUUCCUGUUCUAGGGAGGGCUAAUCCCUAUAGGUUAAAAAUAAUAUCAAAUGUGUGUCUGCAAACAACGUAAUAGUUUAAAAACUCGCUGCACUCAUAUGUAUUAUAUAGAAUGUUUUUCAUUUAAUUUUAUGUUGCGUUUUAUGUUUUAUGUUGUGUUAUCAUUUUGUAUUUAUUUUUAUUCUUGUUCAACGGUUUCAUUGACCUUAAAAUCCAAUUUUAAAGGCUUAAAGAUUUACUAAAAUCUUGUUAAAACUAAAAAAACCUAAAAUUUUAUGUCAAGCGUGAUCAAGCGUAUUGCGUUUGAUCUCGUUUGUCCGAACAUCGUGAUAGCGAGUGAUGGAGAGUUAAUGAUUUUGCGGGAUGACGCGAUUGGGUGUGCGAAGCUUCUCGCGAAUGCCGAGUGCUUUGAAAUUGAUCGUCAGUUGCCAGGAGCGACGUCGUUCGAUUAGGCAAACUAUCCCGAAAAAAUCGUGGUAGGCAGAAGCCGGCUCGUCGAUGGGGCCUUUGUCCCGUCCAAGACCAUGAUCUCUGUGUGAUAUUCAACGUGAGAACUGCAACGAUCAUGUUUCUGAUGAAGCGCGAUACACGGACGCAAUUGUGCUGGAAUCAUCACGCAACGAGAGACAUUGAGUGAAAUGUGCGAGAGACAUAAGGGACGAGAAGCGAGCUAAAAUGGACGAUGGACGAAAUAUCCGAGCUGAUGAUGCGACACUGCGGUCGCUGUUUCGUCACGGGAAUUAAUUUCGCGACUGCAGACAAGAUGCGCCCGACCGUCCUCGUGGCGACGACUUGGGGCGAGACCGAGAGACGGAUCCGUAACUCUCGCGAUAUCCUCGCGUACUUGCAGAUUCAUCUCAGCAUAAACUUGAACACUGGUAAAAUGUCAUUGACAGCAAAAAGCACGUAUAUUACGAGGAAGGAACAUCAUCGUUUGUCCUCGUGAACAGUGGAUCAUAACUGUGAGCGAAAUCCUAAACUGAAAUUGAAUUAUCUAUUAAAAAAUUAAAUUAAAAUAAAAUAAUAAAAAUGAAUCAAGUUAAGUAAUAUUAUCAAGAUUUUCAAGUCAAUAAACCCCAAAGUGGGACAAACUCCUAGGGGGCUUUAAUUUCUUUGUACAUACACAGGUAUUGGUAUCUUUCGGUAUUAUAUAAAUCGUGUAACGUAUUUGCAACAAGAAUGUGUCUUAUUUCUGCCACGAAUCCACGAAGAAAUAAAUUCAAAAAUUAUUAUCCAUCAUUCACGCUUAUUUAUGCUU
This is a long non-coding RNA of Ooceraea biroi (clonal raider ant), 2611 nucleotides long. RefSeq lists it as uncharacterized. NCBI's taxonomy places the organism in Eukaryota, Metazoa, Arthropoda, Insecta, Hymenoptera, Formicidae. The record is from RefSeq and is a predicted model, not a curated record.